RNAcentral lists this ribosomal RNA (571 nucleotides) under uncultured bacterium. RNAcentral's name for it is "partial 16S ribosomal RNA". It matches the Rfam family "Bacterial small subunit ribosomal RNA", at positions 355 to 914 of the family's 1533-position model. The record is from RNAcentral.
UAGGGAAUCUUCGGCAAUGGGGGCAACCCUGACCGAGCAACGCCGCGUGAGUGAAGAAGGUUUUCGGAUCGUAAAGCUCUGUUGUAAGUCAAGAACGGGUGUGAGAGUGGAAAGUUCACACUGUGACGGUAGCUUACCAGAAAGGGACGGCUAACUACGUGCCAGCAGCCGCGGUAAUACGUAGGUCCCGAGCGUUGUCCGGAUUUAUUGGGCGUAAAGCGAGCGCAGGCGGUUUGAUAAGUCUGAAGUUAAAGGCUGUGGCUCAACCAUAGUUCGCUUUGGAAACUGUCAAACUUGAGUGCAGAAGGGGAGAGUGGAAUUCCAUGUGUAGCGGUGAAAUGCGUAGAUAUAUGGAGGAACACCGGUGGCGAAAAGCGGCUCUCUGGUCUGUAACUGACGCUGAGGCUCGAAAGCGUGGGGAGCGAACAGGAUUAGAUACCCUGGUAGUCCACGCCGUAAACGAUGAGUGCUAGGUGUUGGAUCCUUUCCGGGAUUCAGUGCCGCAGCUAACGCAUUAAGCACUCCGCCUGGGGAGUACGACCGCAAGGUUGAAACUCUAAAGUGAAUUGAC